CACCGCGGUUAUACGAGAGGCCCAAGCUGAUAGACACCGGCGUAAAGCGUGGUUAGGAGAAUUAACACGAUUAAAGCCGAAUGCUUUCAAAGCUGUUAUACGCAUACGAAGGCUAGAAGUACAACAACGAAGGUGGCUUUACAAUUUCUGAACCCACGAAAGCUAAGGCA
This 170-nucleotide ribosomal RNA is filed under the name Thamnaconus multilineatus (finelined filefish). RNAcentral's name for it is "partial 12S rRNA". The record is from RNAcentral. Lineage: Eukaryota; Metazoa; Chordata; Actinopteri; Tetraodontiformes; Monacanthidae.